Diceros bicornis minor is the source of this 2096-nucleotide long non-coding RNA. RefSeq lists it as uncharacterized. Lineage: Eukaryota; Metazoa; Chordata; Mammalia; Perissodactyla; Rhinocerotidae. The record is from RefSeq and is a predicted model, not a curated record. The transcript has 2 exons.
AAGCCCUUGAUUGUGGGGAGCAGGAGGAGAGCAGAGAGCACUGCUCCUGAGACUAAGGGGGAGAUUUAAGUACCAAAUUGUUGUUUACCCUUCUGCAAGCUCUCAGCCCCUAAAAUCCUAGAGAUUUCCCUUAAGACAUUUGGGAAGGAAUUUAGAGAAUUAGGGAUUUCUGGAGAUUCACACACCCAUAAAAAUAGGAAAGAAAGACUAUCAGGGCCUCACUACCCUGACUCUUGCUGCCUCCCAAGCUCCAACAGAGCCACUGACACUAACUCUAAUCAUAUCUUGUGCGGCUAUAAAAUAAACGAUAUUAUCGACACCCCUAUAAUUAUCUAUUAUUCGCUUACUUGUGAUAAUUACGAUACUAGAUGAGGCAGGUCUAUGCAGACAAAGUAAAGCCAAGCAAAUACCCUGGAAAAUGAAAGUGAAUCACUGAGGCCUUCAAAAUUUCUUGUCCUUUCUUGAGUAUGUUCCAGAAUCUGUAUGCUCCUGUGUAAGACCUCCCUGGUUUAGGAGUAGCCAUCCUGUAGGGGCCAGGGUGGUAUUGGGAGACCCAACCAUCGUUUUUUCCUCUGUAUCCCAUACACCACCCCCCUCCUCCACACAAACACCGGAGAGGAUCAAACAAUAAAAGGGAAAUGCUUUCUGUCUCUCCUCCAACAAUUAUCCGGAUAAUUGCAUGAAUUCUUCCUUGCAAACUGCUGUGUAGUCAGGGCUGGGAUUUCAGCAGGAAGUGCAGGGGACAGGAUUGCAAAUGGGGGCAACUGAGAGAGUCCGGCAUCCUUACAUUCCCAGACUUUAUAGUUCUGUCUAGUGUUACAUUGUUUCUUCAGGCAAAGAUCUUUGUUCCCCUUCAGUCAUAUUUCUCCCUUCCCCCUCCCUUUCUCUCUCCCCCUCCCCCCUUUUUUGGUCCCUUUAAAGGAGACUCAGACCACCUUCUGCUCUUAAUAGAUAACUAUAAAAGCAAAAUUAAUUCCCGCCUGCCUUUUAAUAUCAAUAUCUCUCUGUUAAGUAUGCACAUUGGUGAGAAUAAACAGAAUUAAGUGCUGCAGCCCAAACCAACAAUUACAUCCAAGGUUUGUGUUGUUCUUUUUUUCCAUUGAGUCAGGCUUAUCUGGGUUGUUCGCUCUGCAGCAAGUAACCAGGGGGUAUUUGUAUUAUUAUUAUUUUUUUACGAGCUUGUUGGGGCCUGGGCCAGCACCAACUCAUAGAAAAAGCAACCACGAAGACAGAGAGAGAGCCAAAAGAGGGAAGAGGGCACCAGAAGGAGAUGAAAGGGAGCCACACAGAAAAAAGAGGCGGCGGCAGGCCCCGGAACAAACGUGGCAGAGGGGGAGACAGGCACUCAUGUGCGUGAUUAUGCAGUCAGACCCUGCUGCAAAUGGACUAGACCCCCACUUCAGAUGAGAGAUACAACAGGGAAAUAGAAGUCGGAGACCGCUAAUGAAAAUAAUCCAUGUAGACAUAGAAGGAGUUUUUAAAAGACAGAAAUACAGAACGACAGGAAAGAAGUUCAGCCGAUGGAGAGCGUCAUUGCCAAUGCCUGAGCUUCCUCCUGCUACUGUGUUUAAGAUCUCCAGAGAAACGUGUAUUAUAAAUACAAUAAUUUGUGAACUCAAAAACUGUACUUCCAUGUAUUUGGUACACAUACACCAUGUGUGCAAACAUAAUUUACAGAAGAUAUUUUUCAUACACUGGGUAGAUAUGCAUUUUGUCUAUAUAUAAUAAUAUGAUGUAUUUUCCAUGUAAUUUUUUAAUGUGGAUAUAUUAAAAUGGAUGCAUUUUCCAUGCACUGAUUUUAUAUGUCCUAUGGAGUGGAUACAUUCAUGUAGCUAAAUAGAUGCAGGACUGUACAUUCAGUGUGUACGAUAUAUAUAUAACAGUACUGUUUAUAAAUGUAAACAAAUUUUUACGUAUGGUGGAUAUUCAUGCUAUAUGUAAUCUUUUCCCAGGAGGUUGCUUUCCCAUACAAUAGAUAAAAGUCCCUCUGUAUGUAUAUUUUCUAGAGAAAUAUAUUUUCCAUGUCCAGAAUAUAUGUGUAAUAUAGAUAUCUGUGCAUUUUAGACCGUUUCAAUAUAUUGGUUAUGUCCGCAGUA